GGGCACCGCACUCGGAGCGGCUUGGCCAGCCAGCCGGCCCCGCCGGCCCCGGGCAUUGAGGGGCUUAGCACCUGGGCCAGCAGCUGCGGAGGGUGCGCCGGGUCCCCCAGCAGUGCCGGCCCACCAGCGCUGCGCUCGAUUUCUUGCUUGGCCUUACCUGCCUCUCCGCGGGGCAGGGCUCGGGACCUGCAGCCACCCAUGCCUGCGCCUCCCCCCACCUGGGCUCCUGCGCGGCGGGAGCCUCCCCAACGAGCGCCGCCCCCUGCUCCACCGCGCCCAGUCCCAUCGACCGCCCAAGGGCUGAGGAGUACGGGCGCACUACGCGGGACUGGCGGGCAGCUCCACCUGCGGUCCAGGUCUGCAGCUUCACUCCUGAAACCAGCAAGACCACGAACCCACCAGAAGGAAAAAACAAGCUGCGAGACCAGGAAGAAACUCCGAACACAUCCGAACAUCAGAAGGAACAAACUCUGCACACGCUGCCUUUAAGAACUGUAACACCCACCGGGAGGGUCCGUGGCUUUGUUCUUGAAGUCAGUGAGACCAAGAACCCACCAAGUCCGGACAUAAUCCUUUUACAAAUUAAAUCAAAGCACUUUAAUUCCUGCAAUAGCUCUACUUUUUAUGCUACGGUCCUUAUAGUGGCCUGCAAGGCCUUACAUGAUGUGGUAUUCAUCACCUUUCUAACCGCAGCUCCUCUUUUCAAACUCUCAUUCUGCAACAGUUGCACUGGCUCCCUUGCUGACUAUCUUAUUUAAGACAUUCAUGUUAACAUGCCCACAAAUAUCAACGUGGCUAACUUCUACACUGUAGUUCAGUCUUUGCUCAGAUGUCAUUUUCUCAAUAAGGCCUACCCUGACAACCUUACAUAAAAUUUCACCCCUUCCUCCCUUCCCUGACUCCUGAUUCCUAUUACUCCGAACUAAUCUUUUUUGAACCAUAGCACUUAAAAUCUUAUAACUAAUUCUGUAGUUUACCAAUUUUAUUAGAUCUUUUGUCUUCUCCUACUUGAAUAAGCUUCUCGAAAGCAAACUAUUUGUCUUUUCUUUCAUCAAUAUAUCCCCACAUCGAUGGGUCUAGUCUCUGAAAUAAUAAGUGCUCAAUAAAUACUUGUUGAAUUAAUUUCACAAUAAGUAACUGGAAAAGACAUGACAGUUUUAACAUACAUAUGUUCUUAUAUUUAAGUGCUAGAAAAAAGUAUAACUUUUCAUAAAAAUCAAUAAAUUCGAUUAACAAAAAUAUAUAUUUCCCCAAUCAUACAAAGACUUAAAACUGUCUUCUAAAUAACAAAAAAUAAAUUCAAUUUUAAAUAAUAAUUAAAAUUAGCAAAAUAAUUAUUAAAUGUAGGACAAAAAAACAAAACCUCUAACUUUUAAAUGAUAAUUACCAGAUAAUUCUUAUAAGUUAUCCUAACAAUAAUACCAAAAGGAAGAUACUGC
Molecule: long non-coding RNA, 1439 nt
Filed under: Homo sapiens (human)
Lineage: Eukaryota; Metazoa; Chordata; Mammalia; Primates; Hominidae
Description: HSALNT0076730
Source: RNAcentral